AUUGAACGCUGGCGGCAGGCCUAACACAUGCAAGUCGAACGGAGUGGCGGACGGGUGAGUAAUGUCUGGGAAACUGCCUGAUGGAGGGGGAUAACGUCCGGAAACGGGCGCUAAUACCGCAUACUAUCAGAUGAGCCUAGGUCGGAUUAGCUAGUUGGUGGGGUAAAGGCCUACCAAGGCGACGAUCCGUAACUGGUCUGAGAGGAUGAUCAGACACACUGGAACUGAGACACGGUCCAGACUCCUACGGGAGGCAGCAGUGGGGAAUAUUGGAAAAUGGGCGAAAGCCUGAGCCAGCCAUGCCGUGUGUGUGAAGAAGGUCUGCGGUUUGUAAAGCACUUUAAGUUGGGAGGCGUUACCAACAGAAUAAGCACCGGCUAACUUCGUGCCAGCAGCGGCGGAAAAC
This 406-nucleotide ribosomal RNA is filed under the name uncultured bacterium. Its description in RNAcentral is "partial 16S ribosomal RNA". It matches the Rfam family "Bacterial small subunit ribosomal RNA", at positions 30 to 525 of the family's 1533-position model. The record is from RNAcentral.